GGUUGGAACUGGCGGCCUUGAGUCGGCAAGAGGCGCGUGGAAUUCGUGGUGUAGCGGUGAAAUGCAUAGAUAUCACGAGGAACUCCGAUUGCGAAGGCAGCGCGCUGGGGCCGUACUGACGCUGAUGCUCGAAGGCGCGGGUAUCAAACAGGAUUAGAUACCCCUGGUAGUCCGCGCGGUAAACUAUGGACGCUCGCGGUGCGGGAUAUUAUCUUACGCCGCCUAGCGAAAGCGUUAAGCGUCCCACCUGGGGAGUACGCCGGCAACGGUGAAACUCAAAGGAAUUGACGGGGGCCCGCACAAGCGGAGGAACAUGUGGUUUAAUUCGAUGAUACGCGAGGAACCUUACCCGGGCUUGAAAUGUGCAUGACUGCGGACAGAGACGUCCGCUUCCUUCGGGCAUGCAUGUAGGUGCUGCAUGGUUGUCGUCAGCUCGUGCCGUGAGGUGUCGGCUUAAGUGCCAUAACGAGCGCAACCCUUACCGCCGGUUACCAUCGGGUGAUGCCGGGGACUCCGGCGGCACUGCCAUCGCAAGAUGCGAGGAAGGUGGGGAUGACGUCAAAUCAGCACGGCCCUUACGUCCGGGGCUACACACGUGUUACAAUGGGGGGUACAGAAAGUCGGUCUGUGGCGACACAGAUCCAAUCCUCAAAACCCCUCUCAGUUCGGACUGGAGUCUGCAACCCGACUCCACGAAGCUGGAUUCGCUAGUAAUCGCGCAUCAGCCAUGGCGCGGUGAAUACGUUCCCGGGCCUUGUACACAC
Molecule: ribosomal RNA, 764 nt
Filed under: uncultured bacterium
Lineage: Bacteria
Description: bacterial SSU rRNA
Rfam family: Bacterial small subunit ribosomal RNA
Source: RNAcentral